AGAGUUUGAUCCUGGCUCAGGAUGAACGCUGGCGGCGUGCCUAAUACAUGCAAGUCGAGCGAACGGACGAGAAGCUUGCUUCUCUGAUGUUAGCGGCGGACGGGUGAGUAACACGUGGAUAACCUACCUAUAAGACUGGGAUAACUUCGGGAAACCGGAGCUAAUACCGGAUAAUAUUUUGAACCGCAUGGUUCAAAAGUGAAAGACGGUCUUGCUGUCACUUAUAGAUGGAUCCGCGCUGCAUUAGCUAGUUGGUAAGGUAACGGCUUACCAAGGCAACGAUGCAUAGCCGACCUGAGAGGGUGAUCGGCCACACUGGAACUGAGACACGGUCCAGACUCCUACGGGAGGCAGCAGUAGGGAAUCUUCCGCAAUGGGCGAAAGCCUGACGGAGCAACGCCGCGUGAGUGAUGAAGGUCUUCGGAUCGUAAAACUCUGUUAUUAGGGAAGAACAUAUGUGUAAGUAACUGUGCACAUCUUGACGGUACCUAAUCAGAAAGCCACGGCUAACUACGUGCCAGCAGCCGCGGUAAUACGUAGGUGGCAAGCGUUAUCCGGAAUUAUUGGGCGUAAAGCGCGCGUAGGCGGUUUUUUAAGUCUGAUGUGAAAGCCCACGGCUCAACCGUGGAGGGUCAUUGGAAACUGGAAAACUUGAGUGCAGAAGAGGAAAGUGGAAUUCCAUGUGUAGCGGUGAAAUGCGCAGAGAUAUGGAGGAACACCAGUGGCGAAGGCGACUUUCUGGUCUGUAACUGACGCUGAUGUGCGAAAGCGUGGGGAUCAAACAGGAUUAGAUACCCUGGUAGUCCACGCCGUAAACGAUGAGUGCUAAGUGUUAGGGGGUUUCCGCCCCUUAGUGCUGCAGCUAACGCAUUAAGCACUCCGCCUGGGGAGUACGACCGCAAGGUUGAAACUCAAAGGAAUUGACGGGGACCCGCACAAGCGGUGGAGCAUGUGGUUUAAUUCGAAGCAACGCGAAGAACCUUACCAAAUCUUGACAUCCUUUGACAACUCUAGAGAUAGAGCCUUCCCCUUCGGGGGACAAAGUGACAGGUGGUGCAUGGUUGUCGUCAGCUCGUGUCGUGAGAUGUUGGGUUAAGUCCCGCAACGAGCGCAACCCUUAAGCUUAGUUGCCAUCAUUAAGUUGGGCACUCUAAGUUGACUGCCGGUGACAAACCGGAGGAAGGUGGGGGAUGACGUCAAAUCAUCAUGCCCCUUAUGAUUUGGGCUACACACGUGCUACAAUGGACAAUACAAAGGGCAGCGAAACCGCGAGGUCAAGCAAAUCCCAUAAAGUUGUUCUCAGUUCGGAUUGUAGUCUGCAACUCGACUACAUGAAGCUGGAAUCGCUAGUAAUCGUAGAUCAGCAUGCUACGGUGAAUACGUUCCCGGGUCUUGUACACACCGCCCGUCACACCACGAGAGUUUGUAACACCCGAAGCCGGUGGAGUAACCUUUUAGGAGCUAGCCGUCGAAGGUGGGACAAAUGAUUGGGGUGAAGUCGUAACAAGGUAGCCGUAUCGGAAGGUGCGGCUGGAUCACCU
RNAcentral lists this ribosomal RNA (1541 nucleotides) under Staphylococcus aureus. RNAcentral's name for it is "16S ribosomal RNA". It matches the Rfam family "Bacterial small subunit ribosomal RNA". The record is from RNAcentral. Lineage: Bacteria; Bacillati; Bacillota; Bacilli; Caryophanales; Staphylococcaceae.